UGGGGAAUAUUGCACAAUGGGCGAAAGCCUGAUGCAGCAACGCCGCGUGAGCGAUGAAGGCCUUCGGGUCGUAAAGCUCUGUCCUCAAGGAAGAUAAUGACGGUACUUGAGGAGGAAGCCCCGGCUAACUACGUGCCAGCAGCCGCGGUAAUACGUAGGGGGCUAGCGUUAUCCGGAAUUACUGGGCGUAAAGGGUGCGUAGGUGGUUUCUUAAGUCAGAGGUGAAAGGCUACGGCUCAACCGUAGUAAGCCUUUGAAACUGAGAAACUUGAGUGCAGGAGAGGAGAGUAGAAUUCCUAGUGUAGCGGUGAAAUGCGUAGAUAUUAGGAGGAAUACCAGUUGCGAAGGCGGCUCUCUGGACUGUAACUGACACUGAGGCACGAAAGCGUGGGGAGCAAACAGG
RNAcentral lists this ribosomal RNA (403 nucleotides) under uncultured bacterium. Its description in RNAcentral is "partial 16S ribosomal RNA". It matches the Rfam family "Bacterial small subunit ribosomal RNA", at positions 355 to 776 of the family's 1533-position model. The record is from RNAcentral. RNAcentral also lists the same sequence under 2 other names.